CUGGCGUGGGUGUUCGUAUACGUUGUGUUCUAAUAUACAAUUUUAACCUCUUAAUCCUGAGUAGAAUUGUUAUGUUGUUUUGUCAAACGUGACUUGAUUUGAUUUAUACGUUUGUUUAGUUAAUAAAUAGUCGCGUAUAUCUACGAUUAUGUCUUUGCAAAAAACAUCGCAACGGGCUAGUGGCAGUAAAAAAAGAAAACUAAGUGACGAUUCGAUUGAUAUACAAUUGAAUCAUAAUCUAGAUUUGUGUAUUGAUUCACCGUUGGAAGGUUAUAGAGACCUGUUUGGCGAACUUAUACCACCUAACGAGUGCGUCAAUAAUGCAGAGGUUAAAAACAAAUCGACUAAGAAAAAAACACCCGUAUCAAAGAGAAAGAAACUACCAUAUGAAGAUAUUUUUGUAGAUACUCCAGUAAUAAAACCUAAAAGAGUGUUUGUUCCUACUCCAAGAAUGAUGAAAUGUAUGAUGGAGGCACAAAAAGAAUUGUACUCCUUUAUGGGUAUUCAAAAAAGUUCAAGUAAUGUUUCAAUUGUAUCAAACGACAGUCUUAAUGUUAGCGGAGUACAACAUUUAAAAGACAGUCCUAUAACAAGUAUAAAAAAUGUGUCUAAAAUAAAUACAGAGAAUAAUGAUGAGAAAUCUCAACAAGUUCUUAAAGGAAUUGUUGCAUUUGUUGAUUAUAAAAUCGACAAUGAACGCUGUGAUUCAAGUAUCAUUCAUAAUCUCAUUAAAUUGGGUGCCAAAGUUGAAAAAACAUUUAAUCGAAAAGUUACGCAUGUAAUGUUUUGUGAUGGCUACCGCAGUACGUAUAAUAAAGCAGUUGAACGUAAUAUCCCACUGGUGUCAGCAAGGUGGAUGGAAUAUAGCAGAAGAGCUAAUAAGAUACUGAGUCCAGCUGACUAUCCACCUGUAGGUUUGGAAAAAUACACCAAAACACCAUCAAAAGUUAUUAAAAUUCCAAAAUCCAAGUCAUAUCAAAAGUUUCUAGAUCCUAGUAAUAUUGAACGUGACCAUCUAUUUAAGUUAAAAUGUGAUAACCUAAUGAAACAAUUUAAUCUCAGUAUAAACUAUAAUAAUGAAAAAAAUCAUUCUAGCAUUGAGACUCCUCAAAAAACGACUGCGGAUGAGCAAGACGAUUUCCACAAACCAGAGCAUAUUGUUAAUAUAGUAUCAGAUCAAAUAUGUAAAUUAUUAAAUAAGACUGAUAGUCCUGUACCUGAUGAAAAACUAGAAGAAUUAAAUGUACCAAUUAGAAUAAUAAGAAAACAUCUCACGCCUGAUGGAAAGGAGAAUACAACAUCUAAAAUACUUGAUGGUCAAAUAGCUAAAAUUGAAGAUCAACUAAAAUUAAAUUUUCAAGCUAGAAAACGAUUUCGUAAACUAUUAUUUCCUUCUGAUGAGGUAAUAAAUAACAUUCAAGAAGUUAUUGAUUUUCCAACUCAAACCGAGGACAGCAAUUCCAAAAAAAUGUCUAUAAAUUCUACGAUUAUCCAGACACCAAAAGACUUUUUAGCAGAUAAUAGCGUGGUAUUACAGUCAAUUGCCUGUACUGGAAUGAUGAAAAGUGAAAUGAAAAUUUUAAAAUCAUCUAUAAAAACCUUAGGAAAAUUUAUUUUUCAUGCUAUGGUGAAACCUCAAACUACCUAUUUAAUUACUAAAUCACAUUCUAAUCAAUCAUUGGAUAUUGUAUUUGCAAAGGCUUAUGGAUGUUUCAUUGUUUCUGAAGAUUGGGUACAUGAAUCGUACAGAAUUGGAAAAUGGUUAUCCCAUCAACAUUAUUUGAUCUCAGAUUUGUCUGAACCUGUCAAGGAAUUUCAAUCACAACGUCACACAACAUUUGGGUCAGUGUUGAAAUUUCAUAUAUUUGAUAACGCUGGCAAAAUAUACAUAUCAGAUACCUGUAAAUCACCUGCUAAACUCUUAAAACGAUUGGUGCAUGCUUGUGGUGGUCAUUGUACAAAUACUAAAUCUAUCGCAAACGUUGUAGUAGGUGAUACACCGACAAUGGAUAAUGAUGUUGACGAAAAAUGGAUUUUAGACUGCAUAACCCAAGGGAUAUUGUUAGAUAAAAAAAAAAACAAAUGGUCAAUGUCGGAUAACUGCAUUCAUAACAUCAAAUAGAGAAAACAAAAGUUUUGUGUUGUCAAAGCAAUGCAAACAUCCAUUUGAUCUAGAUGUUCCAUUUCUUCAACAACAUAUAACUAGUAAAGGCUUUAAAAAAACUGUGAAUUCAUGUGUGCCUCGUGGUAUCUAAAUGGAAUAGAUUGUUAAAAGCUGUAAAUAACUUAACAUUUAUUCAGUGUGCAUAAAGAAUUAGGCGAUUACGACAAGGAUUGUUUCCAGCAACACCUCGAAAUACUCCAUAUUUCCAUAAUCUAUUAAUGAAUGAUGAAAAUCAAAUUUUUAGAUUAACAUUAUAACAAUCACAAUAACAUACAAGUUGAUUACAAAUUGAAAUUGAAUAAACUAAAUUUAUUGAAUAAUUACCGAUGUAUAGAUUUUAUCAAGGACCAUUGGUUGUGAAUGGAAUUAUUAAAAGUAUCCUAUUUUUCAAUAUAGCUCAUUUACAGAAAACAGAGUAAAAUUUAAGAAAUGUAUGUAAAUCUAAUGGAAAUUUCU
Molecule: RNA transcript, 2620 nt
Organism: Rhopalosiphum maidis (corn leaf aphid)
Lineage: Eukaryota; Metazoa; Arthropoda; Insecta; Hemiptera; Aphididae
Exons: 10
Source: RefSeq, a predicted model, not a curated record